This 440-nucleotide ribosomal RNA is filed under the name uncultured bacterium. Its description in RNAcentral is "partial 16S ribosomal RNA". It matches the Rfam family "Bacterial small subunit ribosomal RNA", at positions 338 to 795 of the family's 1533-position model. The record is from RNAcentral.
CCUACGGGAGGCUGCAGUGGGGGAUAUUGCACAAUGGGGGGAACCCUGAUGCAGCGACGCCGCGUGGGUGAAGAAGCGCCUCGGCGCGUAAAGCCCUGUCAGCAGGGAAGAAAAUGACGGUACCUGAAGAAGAAGCCCCGGCUAACUACGUGCCAGCAGCCGCGGGAAUACGGAGGGGGCAAGCGUUAUCCGGAUUUACUGGGUGUAAAGGGGGCGCAGUCGGGGAUGCAAGCCAGGAGUGAAAGCCCGGGGCCCAACCCCGGGACUGCUCGUGGAACUGCGUGGCUGGAGUGCAGGAGGGGCAGGCGGAAUUCCUGGUGUAGCGGUGAAAUGCGUAGAUAUCAGGAGGAACACCGGUGGCGAAGGCGACCUGCUGGACUGCAACUGACGUUGAGGCCCGAAAGCGUGGGGAGCAAACAGGAUUAGAUACCCCGGUAGUC